GUGAGGAAUUUUCCGCAAUGGGCGAAAGCCUGACGGAGCAAUGCCGCGUGAAGGAUGAAGGCCUAUGGGUUGUAAACUUCUUUUCUCAGAAAAGAAUUAUGACGGUAUCUGAGGAAUAAGCAUCGGCUAACUCUGUGCCAGCAGCCGCGGUAAGACAGAGGAUACAAGCGUUAUCCGGAAUGAUUGGGCGUAAAGCGUCUGUAGGUUGUUUAAAAAGUAUUCUGUCAAAGAUUAGGGCUUAACCCUAGAUAGGCAGAAUAAACUUUUAAGCUAGAGUUUGGUAGAGGCAGAGGGAAUUCCCGGUGGAGCGGUGAAAUGCGUAGAUAUCGGGAGGAACACCAAAGGCGAAGGCACUCUGCUGGGCCAAUACUAACACUGAGAGACGAAAGCGAGGGGAGCAAAUGGGAUUAGAUACCCCAGUAGUCC
Molecule: ribosomal RNA, 426 nt
Filed under: uncultured bacterium
Lineage: Bacteria
Description: partial 16S ribosomal RNA
Rfam family: Bacterial small subunit ribosomal RNA
Source: RNAcentral